This 1340-nucleotide ribosomal RNA is filed under the name Phytophthora quercetorum. RNAcentral's name for it is "eukaryotic LSU rRNA". It matches the Rfam family "Eukaryotic large subunit ribosomal RNA", at positions 24 to 1155 of the family's 3401-position model. Lineage: Eukaryota; Oomycota; Peronosporomycetes; Peronosporales; Peronosporaceae. The record is from RNAcentral.
CCCGCUGAACUUAAGCAUAUCAAUAAGCGGAGGAAAAGAAACUAACAAGGAUUCCCCUAGUAACGGCGAGUGAAGCGGGAAGAGCUCAAGCUUAAAAUCUCCGUGCAAGUUUUGCGCGGCGAAUUGUAGUCUAUAGAGGCGUGGUCAGCGUGGGCGCUUGGGGCAAGUUCCUUGGAAGAGGACAGCAUGGAGGGUGAUACUCCCGUUCAUCCCUGAGUUGCUCGUGCGUACGACCCGUUUUCUUUGAGUCGCGUUGUUUGGGAAUGCAGCGCAAAGUAGGUGGUAAAUUCCAUCUAAAGCUAAAUAUUGGUGCGAGACCGAUAGCGAACAAGUACCGUGAGGGAAAGAUGAAAAGAACUUUGAAAAGAGAGUUAAAGAGUACCUGAAACUGCUGAAAGGGAACCGAAUCGUUUCCAGUGUCUAUAAUCCGUGGCAUAUUUCAUUGGCGAGCGUGUGCGUGCGUGUACUGUGGCAGUGGCUUUUUUGGCUGCGCUCGGUGUGUGUGCUGUGUGUGCUUGCUGGUGCCCUGUGCUGCGGUGGGACGUCAAGGUCAGUUCGUAUGCUGCGGGAAAUGGCUGCCGAGGAGGUAGGGCUUACGCUUGCGUUUGUCUGUUAUAUCUUGGUGGACGAGUAGUCGCGGUUGGGACUGAGGUGCCUACAACGUGCUUUUGAGUGUGUCUGUGUCUCCGUGUGCGCCGUGUGCGGAUAGCUUGCUAUGCGUGUGUGGUUGUGUGUGGAUUGAUGCGGGCUUUAACUUGUUGCCGUUCGGGACGUUGACGAAAUGGAGCGAUCCGACCCGUCUUGAAACACGGACCAAGGAGUCUAACAUGUGUGCAAGUGUUAGGGUGUGGAAACCCCAGCGCGAAAUGAAAGUGAAGGGCAGCGCAAGUUGUCUGAGGUAGGAAACGUUGUGGGCUUCGGUCUGCGGCGUGGCACUAUCGACCGAUCAUGAACCUUCGUGGUGAAAGAUUUGAGUUUGAGCACAUAUGUUGGUACCCGAAAGAUGGUGAACUAUGCCUGAGUAGGGUGAAGCCAGGGGAAACUCUGGUGGAAGCUCGUAGCGAUUCUGACGUGCAAAUCGAUCGUCAAACUUGGGUAUAGGGGCGAAAGACUAAUCGAACCAUCUAGUAGCUGGUUCCCUCCGAAAUUUCCCUCAGGAUAGCAGCAACUUAUUUACGAUAGUUUUAUGAGGUAAAGCGAAUGAUUAGAGGAUUCGGGGAAGAAACUUCCUCGACCUAUUCUCAAACUUUAAAUCUGUAAGACCUGCAGGUUUCUUAAUUGAACUUGUGGAUGUGAAUAUCAAGUUGCUAGUGGGCCAUACGGGGUAAGCUCGUCUGGCG